CACCCGGCUCACUAAUAAUGAUUUCUGGUUCUAGUUCCAGUAUCCUGAUGUGAUUUGGACUCUCUUAUCCUGAGACACCGUGGGCUGAUCCUGAUCCAUAGCUGUUGCCAGAGUUCCUGCAUCCCUGGGCUUGCCUCAGUACCAUCUGGCCUCCUGAUCUCAGUGACACGACAAAACACUUUGAUCAUAAGCGCCGAUGCCAACCCCUGGGGGGGCUCCUCGCUCUGCUGGAACCAGACGGAAAACAUCUCUAGAAGAUGACAAACCCCAGAGUAAACGGACUCCCACCCCUCAGUGAUGAUUGGUGCAGAAAGGUUCCAGCAGUGUGAUUGACAGCUGUAGCAAUUGCAACUCACCUACCUGGCCUGCCAAUUAUUUCUAAGAACACUCGUCGUUCUUCUAAGGACUCCUAAAACUGUACCGUUCUGUCAUUUUUAAAAAAAAAAAUAUACCGUUUAUGGGCUGGCAUUCAAGUAAAUGCUGGCUGCUGUUCAGGCAGAGACAAUGCAGUACUUUGAUUUAGGCACAGACAAGCUGGAUGUGGUUUUCAGGAAUGAAAGCUCCUCAAGUUGAUUUUCUUUUAUUUUGGAUUCUAUUUCAU
Molecule: long non-coding RNA, 601 nt
Organism: Xenopus tropicalis (tropical clawed frog)
Lineage: Eukaryota; Metazoa; Chordata; Amphibia; Anura; Pipidae
Exons: 3
Source: RefSeq, a predicted model, not a curated record